This 474-nucleotide long non-coding RNA is filed under the name Junco hyemalis (dark-eyed junco). Its description in RNAcentral is "lncRNA (ENSJHYG00000013031.1)". Lineage: Eukaryota; Metazoa; Chordata; Aves; Passeriformes; Passerellidae. The record is from RNAcentral.
GGAAGAGCAGUGUACCUGGAACAGAUGUGAAAGGAAAAGGCAUUAAAGGAUGUGUCUUUUUGGCUACUGCUCUGCUGGAGCUGAAACUUUCCCAAAACUCACAGCUAAGCAGUUCAGUGUGUGUUGCAUGGGACAGCUACAGAAUUCCAAUUACUGCAAUGGAGACAGCAGCAAAAUUUCUCCUGAAGAGUCAAACCAGGCAGUGGCUGCAAUGCUCCCACCCUGCACUUGAACAAAAGGCAGCCCCUGGGCACUGCACUCUGUGGAGGAACAGGGCUGGGGGCAGUGCCCAGACUCCUCCUGAGCUCUGCAGCACCACUGGAUGCACGGACCAAUGCAAUCUUAACUUUUGCCACGGGUACCUACCAGUAAAGCAUUAAAUCAAUUAUUAAGCUGGAGAAAGGUGGGUAACACUUUGUGGUGCUCAUGGCUGUGUAGCUGCAACAUUGGGCCUGAGGAGACACAGAAACCCAC